Molecule: ribosomal RNA, 490 nt
Filed under: uncultured bacterium
Lineage: Bacteria
Description: partial 16S ribosomal RNA
Rfam family: Bacterial small subunit ribosomal RNA
Source: RNAcentral
AUUGAACGCUGGCGGCAGGCCUAACACAUGCAAGUCGAACGGUAACAGGAAGCAGCUUGCUGCUUCGCUGACGAGUGGCGGACGGGUGAGUAAUGUCUGGGAAACUGCCUGAUGGAGGGGGAUAACUACUGGAAACGGUAGCUAAUACCGCAUAACGUCGCAAGACCAAAGAGGGGGACCUUAGGGCCUCUCGCCAUCGGAUGUGCCCAGAUGGGAUUAGCUAGUAGGUGGGGUAACGGCUCACCUAGGCGACGAUCCCUAGCUGGUCUGAGAGGAUGACCGGCCACACUGGAACUGAGACACGGUCCAGACGCCUGCGGGAGGCAGCAGUGGGGAAUAUUGCACAGUGGGCGCAAGCCUGAUGCAGCCAUGCCGCGUGUAUGAAGAAGGCCUUCGGGUUGUAAAGUACGUUCAGCGGGGAGGAAGGGAGUAAAGUUAAUACCUUGGCUCAUUGACGUUACCCGCAGAAGAAGCACCGGCUAACUCCGUG